GUUUGAUCCUGGCUCAGAGCGAACGUUAGCGGCAGGCUUAACACAUGCAAGUCGAGCGAGAAAGGGGCUUCGGCUCCGAGUAAAGCGGCGGACGGGUGCGUAACACGUGGAUAAUCUGCCUCGUGGCGGGGGACAACAGUCCGAAAGGACUGCUAAUACCGCAUGUCAGGUCGGAAACUCCGGUUUCUGACGAAAAAGAGGGCACCCGCAAGGGGCUCUCACCACGAGAUGAGUCCGCGUCCCAUCAGCUAGUUGGCGGUGUAAUAGACCACCAAGGCUUAGACGGGUAGCUGGUCUGAGAGGAUGACCAGCCACACUGGGACUGAGACACGGCCCAGACUCCUACGGGAGGCAGCAGUGGGGAAUAUUGGACAAUGGGCGAAAGCCUGAUCCAGCCAUGCCGCGUGAGUGAUGAAGG
This 418-nucleotide ribosomal RNA is filed under the name uncultured bacterium. RNAcentral's name for it is "bacterial SSU rRNA". It matches the Rfam family "Bacterial small subunit ribosomal RNA", at positions 11 to 414 of the family's 1533-position model. The record is from RNAcentral.